UUAAAGGGUCCGUAGGCGGGCCGAUAAGUCAGGGGUGAAAGUCUGCCGCUCAACGGUAGAAUUGCCUUUGAUACUGUCGGUCUUGAGUUAUGGUGAAGUUGGCGGAAUAUGUAGUGUAGCGGUGAAAUGCAUAGAUAUUACAUAGAACACCGAUUGCGAAGGCAGCUGACUAACCAUCGACUGACGCUGAUGGACGAAAGCGUGGGGAGCGAACAGGAUUAGAUACCCUGGUAGUCCACGCCGUAAACGAUGGAUACUAGCUGUCCGGGUCCUUGAGACCUGGGCGGCCAAGCGAAAGUGAUAAGUAUCCCACCUGGGGAGUACGUUCGCAAGAAUGAAACUCAAAGGAAUUGACGGGGGCCCGCACAAGCGGUGGAGCAUGUGGUUUAAUUCGAUGAUACGCGAGGAACCUUACCAGGGCUUAAAUGCAUAUUGACAGGGUCAGAGAUGACUUUUCCUUCGGGCAAUUUGCAAGGUGCUGCAUGGUUGUCGUCAGCUCGUGCCGUGAGGUGUCAGGUUAAGUCCUAUAACGAGCGCAACCCCUACCGUUAGUUGCCAGCGAGUCAUGUCGGGGACUCUAACGGGACUGCCGGUGCAAACCGUGAGGAAGGUGGGGACGACGUCAAAUCAUCACGGCCCUUACGUCCUGGGCCACACACGUGCUACAAUGGCCGGUACAGCGGGAAGCCAUGCGGUAACGCAGAGCGGAUCCACAAAACCGGUCACAGUUCGGAUCGGGGUCUGCAACUCGACCCCGUGAAGCUGGAAUCGCUAGUAAUCGGAUAUCACGCCAUGAUCCGGUGAAUACGUUCCCGGGCCUUGUACACACCGCCCGUCAAGCCAUGGAAGCCGGGAGUGCCUGAAGUCCGUCACCG
Molecule: ribosomal RNA, 875 nt
Filed under: Zobellia sp. RHA_66
Lineage: Bacteria; Pseudomonadati; Bacteroidota; Flavobacteriia; Flavobacteriales; Flavobacteriaceae
Description: bacterial SSU rRNA
Rfam family: Bacterial small subunit ribosomal RNA
Source: RNAcentral